RNAcentral lists this ribosomal RNA (301 nucleotides) under uncultured bacterium. RNAcentral's name for it is "partial 16S ribosomal RNA". It matches the Rfam family "Bacterial small subunit ribosomal RNA", at positions 509 to 807 of the family's 1533-position model. The record is from RNAcentral.
CAGCCGCCACGGGAACACGAAGGGGGCUAGCGUUGUUCGGAAUUACUGGGCGUAAAGCGCACGUAGGCGGAUAUUUAAGUCGGGGGUGAAAUCCCAGGGCUCAACUCUGGAACUGCCUUUGAUACUGGGUAUCUUGAGUAUGGAAGAGGUGAGUGGAAUUCCGAGUGUAGAGGUGAAAUUCGUAGAUAUUCGGAGGAACACCAGUGGCGAAGGCGGCUCACUGGUCCAUUACUGACGCUGAGGUGCGAAAGCGUGGGGAGCAAACAGGUUUAGAUACCCCAGUAGUCCCUGUCUCUUAUAC